UACGGAGGGUGCGAGCGUUGUCCGGAAUCAUUGGGCGUAAAGGGCGAGUAGGUGGCUUGGUAAGUCUGUGGUGAAAGCGCGGGGCUCAACCCCGGGCCUGCAGUGGGUACGGGCAGACUAGAGUGCGGCAGGGGAGACUGGAAUUCCUGGUGUAGCGGUGAAAUGCGCAGAUAUCAGGAGGAACACCGGUGGCGAAGGCGGCAUCCUGGACCGGCAUUGACGCUGAGGCGCGAAAAGCCCAGGGGGAGCAAACGGGG
This 257-nucleotide ribosomal RNA is filed under the name uncultured bacterium. RNAcentral describes it as "partial 16S ribosomal RNA". It matches the Rfam family "Bacterial small subunit ribosomal RNA", at positions 524 to 777 of the family's 1533-position model. The record is from RNAcentral.